GACGUAGGGCGCGAGCGUUGUCCGGAUUUAUUGGGCGUAAAGAGCUCGUAGGCGGCUUGUCGCGUCGUCCGUGAAAACCUGCAGCUCAACUGCAGGCUUGCGGUCGAUACGGGCAGGUUAGAGUUCGGUAGGGGAGACGUGGAAUUCCUGGUGUAGCGGUGAAAUGCGCAGAUAUCAGGAGGAACACCGGUGGCGAAGGCGGGGUCUCUGGGCCGAUA
Molecule: ribosomal RNA, 218 nt
Filed under: uncultured bacterium
Lineage: Bacteria
Description: partial 16S ribosomal RNA
Rfam family: Bacterial small subunit ribosomal RNA
Source: RNAcentral